This 395-nucleotide ribosomal RNA is filed under the name uncultured bacterium. Its description in RNAcentral is "partial 16S ribosomal RNA". It matches the Rfam family "Bacterial small subunit ribosomal RNA", at positions 523 to 918 of the family's 1533-position model. The record is from RNAcentral.
AUACGUAGGGUGCAAGCGUUAAUCGGAAUUACUGGGCGUAAAGCGUGCGCAGGCGGUUUUGUAAGACAGAGGUGAAAUCCCCGGGCUCAACCUGGGAACUGCCUUUGUGACUGCAAGGCUAGAGUACGGCAGAGGGGGAUGGAAUUUCGCGUGUAGCAGUGAAAUGCGUAGAUAUGCGGAGGAACACCGAUGGCGAAGGCAAUCCCCUGGGCCUGUACUGACGCUCAGGCACGAAAGCGUGGGGAGCAAACAGGAUUAGAUACCCCGGUAGUCCACGCCCUAAACGAUUUCAACUGGUUGUUGGGUCUUCAUUGACUCAGUAACGAAGCUAACGCGUGAAGUUGACCGCCUGGGGAGUACGGCCGCAAGGUUGAAACUCAAAUGAAUUGACGGGG